RNAcentral lists this ribosomal RNA (441 nucleotides) under uncultured bacterium. RNAcentral describes it as "partial 16S ribosomal RNA". It matches the Rfam family "Bacterial small subunit ribosomal RNA", at positions 338 to 795 of the family's 1533-position model. The record is from RNAcentral.
CCUACGGGAGGCAGCAGUGGGGGAUAUUGCACAAUGGGGGGAACCCUGAUGCAGCGACGCCGCGUGGGUGAAGGAGUGCUUCGGCAUGUAAAGCCCUAUCGGCAGGGAGGAAGCAAGACGGUACCUGACUAAGAAGCCCCGGCUAACUACGUGCAAGCAGCCGCGGUAAUACGGAGGGGGCGAGCGUUAUCCGUAUUCACUGGGUGUAAAGGGAGCGUAGGUGGCCAAGCAAGCCAGAAGUGAAAGCCCGGGGCGCAACCCCGGGACUGCCCUUGGCCCUGGAUGGCUGGAGUGCGGUAGGGGCAGGUGGAAUUCCUGGUGUAGCGGUGAAAUGCGUAGAGAUCAGGAGGAAUACCGGCGGCGAAGGCGGCCUGCUGGACGGCGACUGACGUUGAGGUGCGAAAGCGUGGGGAGCGAACAGGAUUAGAUACCCCAGUAGUC